CCACGAGCCUCACGACCACGGCUGUCACAAUCUAUGAAUGGCUUUGUUCGUUCGGCUCGCGUGA
This 64-nucleotide microRNA precursor is filed under the name Ptychodera flava. Its description in RNAcentral is "Pfl-Mir-375_pre stem-loop". The record is from RNAcentral. Lineage: Eukaryota; Metazoa; Hemichordata; Enteropneusta; Ptychoderidae.